UCGCUCGAUCAGAGCUCGAGAAGCAUUUCUAUUUGCACUGAGCAAGAAAAAUGCCUGAAAGGCCAUUUCGUAGGAAAAUCGCUCCAUCCCCAACCCACAAAGGAGGCCAAGCCUGUACGUUUCCUCGCCUCCCUCUGUGACUCUAGUCGAGACUCAUGCAUGCCCUGGGCUAGGAAUGCACUUGCUGCCCUCCCUGGCACCCGCUCACCGGUGCUCCGACGGCGCUAGGCCUGCUCCGGCAACAGAUCCUGAGGACUCUCUUUAUCCGCAACCGGAUCUCCUCAUCCCAUGGCAGCAAUUGUAAAAGGAGGCGACACAGUGGCUCGUCUCCAUCCUCUCCGAGCAAGCAACAGAUAGAAGGGGUGAAGGAGGAGAAGAAGAGAGAGAUGAGUUGGAUGGAGAGAGAGAGAGUGCUCUCCUAACAAUUUGAGCCUGCGUCCGCUACGGAUGACAGACAGAAGUUGGAUGUACCUCGAGACCCGGACUUGUAUAGAGUACCUGAGCGGGGUGAAGCAUUUCAUGAGUGCUGCCUUGGCGGAUAUAAAAGAUCGUGGUAUAACGGUAACAUACCAGAACAGUGGUGUCCGUAUAGAAGAUUAUGAUAACGACAUGCAGAGGGGCACAUACUAUGGUAAAUAGAGGAGAUCUGGGAGCUGAACUACUUGGGAUUCAAGGUAGCCCUGUUUCAGUGUCGUUGUGUAAGUGGGGCAAAGGGCGUCACUAAUGACAAAUAUGGGUUCACUAGUGUUGAUCUCACACAUGUCGGAUACAAGUCUAAACCCUUUGUACUCGCUAAAGAUGUUCGCCAAGUCUUUUAUAUGACUGACACAACAAAGAAGAAAUUCCAUGUGGUUCUCGCUGGGAAAAGACGCAUCGUCGGAGUUGCAAACGUCGUUGAUGAGGAGGGAUUCAAUCAAUUCGAUGAAAUCCCCCCUUCUGCUACUGCAGUCGUGCCACGCCUUUCACCGAUCGAGGAAACUCCAUACAUCCGGCCCGACCAUAACGAAGGGAUCCAUGUCAAGAAAGCGCAAAAAUGACGAAUUUUAAUUUCAGUGUGAAAUUUGUAAUAUUAAUGUCAAAUUUGUA
This is a long non-coding RNA of Phragmites australis (common reed), 1086 nucleotides long. RefSeq lists it as uncharacterized. NCBI's taxonomy places the organism in Eukaryota, Viridiplantae, Streptophyta, Magnoliopsida, Poales, Poaceae. The record is from RefSeq and is a predicted model, not a curated record. The transcript is spliced from 3 exons.